Molecule: ribosomal RNA, 1966 nt
Filed under: metagenome
Description: bacterial LSU rRNA
Rfam family: Bacterial large subunit ribosomal RNA
Source: RNAcentral
ACAAGUGAAUAAGUGCACAUGGUGGAUGCCUUGGCGAUAUCAGGCGAUGAAGGACGUAGUAGCUUGCGAUAAGCUACGGGGAGCGAGCAAACACGCAUUGAUCCGUAGAUUUCCGAAUGGGGAAACCCGGCCUUUAAGGUCAUUGCAACCUGAAUACAUAGGGUUGCAAAGCGAACGCGGCGAACUGAAACAUCUAAGUAGCUGCAGGAAAAGAAAUCAACCGAGAUUCCCAAAGUAGUGGCGAGCGAAAUGGGAACAGCCGCAAGUGAUAGCAGCAGACAUAGUGGAAGGUCCUGGAAAUGGCCGCCAUAGAGGGUGAUAGCCCCUUACACGAAAUGUCAGUUGUGGUACUAGGCUUGCAACAAGUAGGGCGGGACACGAGAAAUCCUGUCUGAACAUGGGGGGACCAUCCUCCAAGGCUAAAUACUCGAUAUCGACCGAUAGUGAACCAGUACCGUGAGGGAAAGGCGAAAAGAACCCCGGAAGGGGAGUGAAAUAGAUCCUGAAACCGUGUGCAUACAAACAGUAGGAGCCUCGCAAGGGGUGACUGCGUACCUUUUGUAUAAUGGGUCAGCGACUUACAUUCAGUGGCGAGGUUAACCGAAUAGGGAAGCCGUAGAGAAAUCGAGUCCGAACAGGGCGACAGUCGCUGGGUGUAGACCCGAAACCAAGUGAUCUACCCAUGGCCAGGAUGAAGGUGCGGUAACACGCACUGGAGGUCCGAACCCACUAAUGUUGAAAAAUUAGGGGAUGAGCUGUGGGUAGGGGUGAAAGGCUAAACAAACUUGGAAAUAGCUGGUUCUCUCCGAAAACUAUUUAGGUAGUGCCUCAAGUAUCACCAUCGGGGGUAGAGCACUGUCAUGGCUAGGGGGUCAUCGCGACUUACCAAACCAUUGCAAACUCCGAAUACCGAUGAGUGCGAGCUUGGGAGACAGACGUCGGGUGCUAACGUCCGGCGUCAAGAGGGAAACAACCCAGACCGCCAGCUAAGGUCCCAAAGAUUGGCUAAGUGGAAAACGAAGUGGGAAGGCUAAAACAGUCAGGAGGUUGGCUUAGAAGCAGCCAUCCUUUAAAGAAAGCGUAAUAGCUCACUGAUCGAGUCGUCCUGCGCGGAAGAUGUAACGGGGCUAAGCCAGUCACCGAAGCUGCGGAUAUGCGUAAGCAUAUGGUAGGAGAGCGUUCUGUAAGCCUGCGAAGGUGUCUUGUAAAGGAUGCUGGAGGUAUCAGAAGUGCGAAUGCUGACAUGAGUAGCGAUAAUGGGGGUGAAAAGCCCCCACGCCGUAAGCCCAAGGUUUCCUGUUCAACGUUCAUCGGAGCAGGGUGAGUCGGCCCCUAAGGCGAGGCAGAGAUGCGUAGCUGAUGGGAAGCAGGUUAAUAUUCCUGCACCGUCGUAUGAUGCGAUGGGGGGACGGAUCGCGGAAGGUUGUCCGACUGUUGGAAUAGUCGGUCCCUAACUUAAAGAAGGUGUCUAGGCAAAUCCGGGCACGUAAUUCAAGGGGUUGGGGCGAGCGAACUUGUUCGCGAAGCAAUCGGAAGUGGUUCCAAGAAAAGCCUCUAAGCUUCAGUCAUACGAGACCGUACCGCAAACCGACACAGGUGGGCGAGAUGAGUAUUCUAAGGCGCUUGAGAGAACUCGGGAGAAGGAACUCGGCAAAUUGGUACCGUAACUUCGGGAUAAGGUACGCCCUUGUAGUUUGACUGGCUCGCGCCAGAAGGACGAAAGGGUUGCAAUAAACUGGUGGCUGCGACUGUUUAAUAAAAACACAGCACUCUGCAAACACGAAAGUGGACGUAUAGGGUGUGACGCCUGCCCGGUGCUGGAAGAUUAAAUGAUGGGGUGCAAGCUCUUGAUUGAAGUCCCAGUAAACGGCGGCCGUAACUAUAACGGUCCUAAGGUAGCGAAAUUCCUUGUCGGGUAAGUUCCGACCUGCACGAAUGGCGUAACGAUGGCCACACUGUCUCCUCC